This 291-nucleotide long non-coding RNA is filed under the name Trifolium pratense (red clover). Its description in RNAcentral is "long non-coding RNA (TPRA_LNC010400)". The record is from RNAcentral. Lineage: Eukaryota; Viridiplantae; Streptophyta; Magnoliopsida; Fabales; Fabaceae.
GUAAUGGGUGUAGUCUGUCUGAAAAUCAAACGGUUCAAAAUUUUCAGAUAAUUUUUUAUUUAAUUAAUUAUAAAAUUUUGAUAUUAAAAUCAAAUCUUAUAAAAUAGCAUAAAAUAAGCUAUAUAAGAUUUGUUAGCGCGGUUUCACCAAAAAAAAAAAGAAGAUUUGUUAGCGCGGGUGGGGUCGUAAGCAGAGAUUUGUUAGCGAAUUAACGAAACUGAGAUUUGUCUGUGAUUUAUCUAUCUACCUAUCUAGGGUUUACGAAUUGGGAUUCCUAUCAAUCUUCCGUGU